ACUCCUACGGGAGGCAGCAGUGAGGAAUAUUGGUCAAUGGGCGGAAGCCUGAACCAGCCAUGCCGCGUGCAGGACGACGGCCCUACGGGUUGUAAACUGCUUUUCCGGGGGAAGAAUAAGGCCCAUGCGUGGGCCGAUGCCGGUACCCCGGGAAUAAGGAUCGGCUAACUCCGUGCCAGCAGCCGCGGUAAUACGGAGGAUCCUAGCGUUAUCCGGAUUUACUGGGUUUAAAGGGUGCGUAGGCGGGCGUUUAAGUCCGCGGUGAAAGUCUGCGGCUCAACCGUAGGACUGCCGUGGAUACUGGGCGCCUUGAAUUCGGUCGAGGCGGGCGGAAUGCGUGGUGUAGCGGUGAAAUGCUUAGAUAUCACGCAGAACGCCGAUAGCGAAGGCAGCUCGCCGGGCCGAUAUUGACGCUGAGGCACGAAAGCGUGGGGAUCAAACAGGAUUAGAUACCCUGGUAGUC
This 463-nucleotide ribosomal RNA is filed under the name uncultured bacterium. RNAcentral's name for it is "bacterial SSU rRNA". It matches the Rfam family "Bacterial small subunit ribosomal RNA", at positions 335 to 795 of the family's 1533-position model. The record is from RNAcentral.